Molecule: ribosomal RNA, 253 nt
Filed under: uncultured bacterium
Lineage: Bacteria
Description: partial 16S ribosomal RNA
Rfam family: Bacterial small subunit ribosomal RNA
Source: RNAcentral
UACAGAGGGUGCAAGCGUUGUCCGGAAUUAUUGGGCGUAAAGAGCUUGUAGGCGGUCUGUCGCGUCUGCUGUGAAAAUCCGGGGCUCAACCCCGGACUUGCAGUGGGUACGGGCAGACUAGAGUGUGGUAGGGGAGACUGGAAUUCCUGGUGUAGCGGUGAAAUGCGCAGAUAUCAGGAGGAACACCGGUGGCGAAGGCGGCCGGCUGGGCCGGAUCCGACGCUGAGGCGCGAAAGCGUGGGGAGCAAACAGG